This 76-nucleotide transfer RNA is filed under the name Planctomycetota bacterium. RNAcentral describes it as "Planctomycetes bacterium (activated sludge metagenome) tRNA-Pro". It matches the Rfam family "tRNA". Rfam says of the family: Transfer RNA (tRNA) molecules are approximately 80 nucleotides in length. Their secondary structure includes four short double-helical elements and three loops (D, anti-codon, and T loops). Lineage: Bacteria; Pseudomonadati; Planctomycetota. The record is from RNAcentral.
CUGGAUGUAGCUCAGUCGGCAGAGCGCGUGGCUUGGGCCCACGAGGCCGGCGGUUCGAGUCCGCCCAUUCAGACCA